This 466-nucleotide ribosomal RNA is filed under the name uncultured bacterium. RNAcentral describes it as "partial 16S ribosomal RNA". It matches the Rfam family "Bacterial small subunit ribosomal RNA", at positions 28 to 507 of the family's 1533-position model. The record is from RNAcentral.
GAUGAACGCUGGCGGCGUGCUUAACACAUGCAAGUCGAACGGAAAGGCUCCUGCUUGCAGGGGUACUCGAGUGGCGAACGGGUGAGUAACACGUGGGUGAUCUGCCCUGCACUUCGGGAUAAGCCUGGGAAACUGGGUCUAAUACCGGAUAGGACGAUGGUUUGGAUGCCAUUGUGGAAAGUUUUUUCGGUGUGGGAUGAGCUCGCGGCCUAUCAGCUUGUUGGUGGGGUAAUGGCCUACCAAGGCGUCGACGGGUAGCCGGCCUGAGAGGGUGUACGGCCACAUUGGGACUGAGAUACGGCCCAGACUCCUACGGGAGGCAGCAGUGGGGAAUAUUGCACAAUGGGCGCAAGCCUGAUGCAGCGAUGCCGCGUGGGGGAUGACGGCCUUCGGGUUGUAAACUCCUUUCGCUAGGGACGAAGCGCAAGUGACGGUACCUGGAGAAGAAGCACCGGCUAACUACGUG